GCAUCCUGUAAUUGUGAGGGAAACUAACCAUUGAUGCAAAAUUCGGCAUACAACUUGGCCCCUAUUCGUGAAAGCGAGUCGUCUAGAUGGAUGAUGUUUAUGGAAAAAUUGAUGUUUUCCCUCACCAUUUCCAAGCUACGAAGGCAUCUGACGACUGUCUCCAAACAAGAAGCCAGAACGAUGAUAGUCUUUUGAGAUCUCGUAGCCAUUCGUGGGCCGUAAGACGAGUAAUGGGUGCUGCCUCAAUACUGAAUUUAU
Molecule: unclassified non-coding RNA, 258 nt
Filed under: Hevea brasiliensis (rubber tree)
Lineage: Eukaryota; Viridiplantae; Streptophyta; Magnoliopsida; Malpighiales; Euphorbiaceae
Source: RNAcentral